GUCAACGGCCAUACCGUGCUGGUCACACCGGUUCCCGUACGAUCACCGAAGUUAGGCAGCAUUGGGCGUGGUGUGUACUUGGAUGGGUGACCGUUUGGGAACGCCACGUGCCGUUGGCUUAA
Molecule: ribosomal RNA, 122 nt
Filed under: Pediculus humanus (human louse)
Lineage: Eukaryota; Metazoa; Arthropoda; Insecta; Psocodea; Pediculidae
Source: RNAcentral